AUGUUUCUUUGUACACAGUCACACCAAGGCCAGUUGGAAUGCAGGGACUCUUACGGUUACGGUGGUACUGCCCGCCCCUUCGCACGCAACACCAGCCGGCGGUUGCCGCCUUGCACUUGCAGUUGCACUCCCCGCCGCAUUCUUCUUUCCCUCCCUCCACGACCAUCUCCAGCAACCGAACGAAACGCAUCCCUCCACGUCCAAAGCGGAAGCAAAUCCAUGGCGAACCGGGCCGCGCUCUCGCCGCGCCCGAUCCUAGCCAUCUCCCUCCUCCUGUGCCUGGCGCCGCUGCGCCCCACGGCCGCGCAGGAGCAAUGGCCGCAAUACCCCAUCACGCCGCGGCCGGCGUUCAUGUUCCGAUGGGUGGACGACAACGGGUCGUUCCGGGCCGGCGACACCGCGACCGUCAUGAUCACCUCUUUCUACAUCCCCGACGCCAACGUCUCCGAGGUGCGGCGCAAGGCGGCCUUCAAGGUCACCCUGCACGGCCACGGCGACAAGGCCGGCAACAGCAGCUACCUCACCGACGUCGCCGUGCACCUCGAGGGCGACCUGCCGUCCUGGAACAUCACCCUCGUGCCCUUGCGGGCCGGGGACUUCGUCGCGCUCUUCGAGGAGGAGCGGUUCUUCCUCGGCGUGGACACGCUCAACUUCGCCGUCGCCGCCCGGGACGUGAGCCCGUCCGCCUCCCUGGCCUCCUGGACGCACCUCGGCGGCCGCCGCGUCGCCGCCGGGUCCAGGGCGUUCGUGUCUGUCUUCCCCAGGGACGCGCUCGGCAACGGCCUCCCGCGGGGAGCCGACAUGCCCUUCGGCAACUGGUACUUCGCCGUGUCCUGGUCCUACGUCAACGGGACGCCCGUCCAGUUCUCGGGCCUCGAGUACAACGGCUGGACGGAGGACGCGUGCAUGAGCAUCGAGUUCGUGCCGACUCUCGCCGGGGACUUCCUGGUGCACGUUCAUGCCGACAACACCAAACUGCGCGGCUCGCCAUUGCCGCUCACAGUGAAGCCAGGACUCAUCGACAUUGCGAAAAGCACGGCCGAGUGGAAGCAUGGAACGAACGCCGUGCAGAUAUUCUCCAAGCUGGAGAUCUUCAUAAACCAGAGGGAUUCGUUCGGAAACCUCGUCCCGGGGAUCCACUCAUUCGAUGCUGCGGUGGUGGAGAGCGCCUCAAGGCUGUCGGUCCCGGUAGGGGGGCUCCGGAUCGAAGCUGUCGCCGAGGGAAUCCAGCGGCUCUCCUUCGACGUCGUGGAGCCCGGGGAGUUUGUGCUCACAAUCUUUGAAACUCACCUCAAGCAGAGGCUUUCCGAUACGGUGUACGUGUAUCAUGUCUUUGUAGGGUAUUGCGACGGAUCGAAAAGCAUUGUUAAUGGUUCUGGUUUGGUGCAAUCUGUUGCUGGCUCACCAUCAUCAUUCAUGGUUUACCUGGUGGAUCAGUAUGGAAGCCCUUCUCCGAUUGAUACCAAAAUGCUGCGAGUGCAAAUUCUGAGCAGAAAUGGCACGUCUGGUGUAAACCCAGUUAUAACACCUGUAAGAGAACCAAAUGAGACGAUAUCCACGGAUGGACAAACAAGUAAUUUCAAUGUCUCGUAUGCUCCUGAAAUUGCCGGCGAGUAUGAAAUUUGGGUGUUGUGUGGGAACGUAGCGCUGAAUGAUGGAAAACCCUAUAACAUGACAGUCUCACCAGGUGCAGUUGACACAUCUUUAUCAACCGCUCCAAUAUUUGAUCCAAAAGCCAAAAGAUCAGUCAGAAACAAUGUAACCGUUCGACUUGUCGACUCAUUCAUGAACCCAGUGGUAUCUCUGGAGCCCAAACUGAGGCUUCAGCUAACAUCUGCAAAUGUAACGGCCCCGAUGAACGCGUCAAGUUUCACCGCGGGGGAAUUUGUCAACAACAGAGAUGGAUCAUAUACUGCUCAUUAUGUGGCUAGGUAUCUUGGUUUAUAUGGCAUGUGCAUUCUGUUUGACAGCAGGCAGCUGGCUCCUUGUCCAUUCCAGGUCCUUGUUCUUCCCGACGAAUACUUCUCUGAAGUUCGGGAAGAUCACAUUUCAGUUUGGGAGGAUGAAUCUGUUUCCUUUGAUAUCUUGUCAAAUGACUACAUUGCAGUAGGACUAGCUGACGUAGUUAAUUUAUCUUCACCACUCCAUGGAGCAGUCCUACAGUACAACCCGGGCUAUCGCUACACACCUUUUGAACGGUUUUUUGGGAAUGACUCCUUUUCAUACACAGUAUCUGAUAAGCAUGGCAACGUUGUCAGUGGCACAGUGUUCAUAUCUGUUCUGUGCAGACCACCUCAGUUCAUCUCUUUGCCCAAACAACUGCAUGUUACAGAAGAUAUAAUUGGCCCAAAGUUUGGCGGGUUUCCGGGGAUUGAAAUGACAUAUUCAGACACAUCAGAGAACAUAUCGGUUACAGUGAGAGCGCAGCACGGCAAUGUUCUUCUUGCUCCAGUGCCAAUGAAACUUCAACAUCUAUUAGAUGAUACGCUUUCAAUCAGCAGGGUAGGCAGGUCUAGCCAAGCCUUGAAAAUACAAGGGGUGGUGGAGGAAAUAAAUGGAGCGCUAAAAUAUCUUCAGUAUAUCGGAAACCAAGACUUCUACGGAGAUGAUGUUAUAAUGCUAUAUGCGAGGAACAGGAAUGGUAGGCAUCGUGAUGAGUUACACGUCUCCGUGGAGCCGGUCAAUGAUCCUCCGGUUAUACUGGCUCCGAAAUCAAUUUUCUUGGGUGGAAAAGAAUCAAGAGAUGGAUAUCAAAUCUUUGACAAGCAGAGAGACCCAUUUGAGUUCUCAAUCGUCGAACCAGAUCUUCGUUGGUACCCAGGGAACAAGUCUCACCUUCUGCUAGUGCUCUCCUUGGAAGUCUUUGAAGGAACCUUGAUGAUGACAUUGCCAGCCAGUCUCGUCGGCAGGGCAGAGCUCAAGACUGGUGGCAGUAACCAGUGGCAGUCGCUUCAGACCUAUGUGGCCAUUGCACAUCACUUGGUCUUGAGAGGAACUGGCAUCAGGCUCCGCUUGGAUGUCGCUGACUGCAACAGCGCAAUGCGCCGGCUCUUUUACCAGGGUGGUCCAAGCCAUGCCACAAGCUUAUCCAUCACCGUAAACGACCUGGGGAACUAUGGGUGCUACCCAGAUUGUUCAGAGAUGAUGUCAAGGCCAUUGCAAGCAGAGAAGACUGUCCAGCUGAGCAAAAGGAAAGCAAUGAACUCAACAAGAGCCAUCUUGACCGGAUCGGCAAUCGCAAUCGAGAUCCUGGCAAUGCUGUGCCUUGGCGGGGUUCUCCUGUAUUUCCUUGUGAAAUGCAUGUGUGCCCUGAGGAUUGAACGAACAAGAGGCCGCCCCGGCAAUGAAGUUCGCACAUCAGAACGAACCAUGUCCCAUCAACUUAUGAGUUCGUCACCCUCGGAUGAUGCUGGAUAUAGCUCUGCACCUGCAGCGGUGCUCUCCAUGGGUGGAAACAGAUCGGGUUUUAGGCAGCGGUCUUGUAGGUCAUGGAAGCAGCAAGAACUGGAAAUGCAGCAGUUAUCUGGGAUCAGAAACGAUGGAAACCAAGAUGAUCAGCCUGUCGUAGACAAGGACAAGGGGCUGUUUAUAGGGUAG
RNAcentral lists this ribosomal RNA (3597 nucleotides) under Triticum aestivum (bread wheat). RNAcentral's name for it is "partial small subunit ribosomal RNA". The record is from RNAcentral. Lineage: Eukaryota; Viridiplantae; Streptophyta; Magnoliopsida; Poales; Poaceae.